RNAcentral lists this ribosomal RNA (992 nucleotides) under Shewanella sp. j21421. RNAcentral describes it as "bacterial SSU rRNA". It matches the Rfam family "Bacterial small subunit ribosomal RNA", at positions 37 to 1022 of the family's 1533-position model. The record is from RNAcentral. Lineage: Bacteria; Pseudomonadati; Pseudomonadota; Gammaproteobacteria; Alteromonadales; Shewanellaceae.
AGGGGGCGAAGCUACCAUGCGCGUCGAACGGUAACAGGAAGAAGCUUGCUUCUUUGCUGACGAGUGGCGGACGGGUGAGUAAUGCUUAGGGAUCUGCCCAGAGGUGGGGGACAACAGUUGGAAACGACUGCUAAUACCGCAUGAUGCCUACGGGCCAAAGGGGGCUUCGGCUCUCGCCUUUGGAGGAACCUAAGUGAGAUUAGCUAGUUGGUGAGGUAAUGGCUCACCAAGGCGACGAUCUCUAGCUGGUCUGAGAGGAUGAUCAGCCACACUGGAACUGAGACACGGUCCAGACUACUACGGGAGGCAGCAGUGGGGAAUAUUGCACAAUGGGGGAAACCCUGAUGCAGCCAUGCCGCGUGUGUGAAGAAGGCCUUCGGGUUGUAAAGCACUUUCAGCAGUGAGGAAAGGUUGUUGGUUAAUACCCAAUAGCUGUGACGUUAACUGCAGAAGAAGCACCGGCUAACUCCGUGCCAGCAGCCGCGGUAAUACGGAGGGUGCGAGCGUUAAUCGGAAUUACUGGGCGUAAAGCGCAUGCAGGCGGUCUGUUAAGCCAGAUGUGAAAGCCCGGGGCUCAACCCCGGAAUAGCAUUUGGAACUGGCAGACUAGAGUUUUGUAGAGGGGGGUAGAAUUUCAGGUGUAGCGGUGAAAUGCGUAGAGAUCUGAAGGAAUACCAGUGGCGAAGGCGGCCCCCUGGACAAAAACUGACGCUCAGAUGCGAAAGCGUGGGUAGCAAACAGGAUUAGAUACCCUGGUAGUCCACGCCGUAAACGAUGUCAACUAGUUGCUUGUAGCUUUUACGCUGUGGGUGACGGAGCUAACGCAUUAAGUUGACCGCCUGGGGAGUACGGCCGCAAGGUUAAAACUCAAAUGAAUUGACGGGGGCCCGCACAAGCGGUGGAGCAUGUGGUUUAAUUCGAUGCAACGCGAAGAACCUUACCAUCCCUUGACAUCCAGAAGAAUUUUUCUAGAGAUUAGAUUAGUGCCUUCG